CAGCCGCCGCGGGAAUACGUAGGGUGCAAGCGUUAAUCGGAAUUACUGGGCGUAAAGCGUGCGCAGGCGGUUUGUUAAGACAGAUGUGAAAUCCCCGGGCUUAACCUGGGAACUGCGUUUGUGACUGGCGAGCUAGAGUAUGGCAGAGGGGGGUAGAAUUCCACGUGUAGCAGUGAAAUGCGUAGAGAUGUGGAGGAAUACCGAUGGCGAGGGCAGCCCCCUGGGCCAAUACUGACGCUCAUGCACGAAAGCGUGGGGAGCAAACAGGAUUAGAUACCCCCGUAGUCCCUGUCUCUUAUAC
Molecule: ribosomal RNA, 301 nt
Filed under: uncultured bacterium
Lineage: Bacteria
Description: partial 16S ribosomal RNA
Rfam family: Bacterial small subunit ribosomal RNA
Source: RNAcentral